This 27-nucleotide small RNA is filed under the name Bombyx mori (domestic silkworm). Its description in RNAcentral is "ovarian small RNA-36873". The record is from RNAcentral. Lineage: Eukaryota; Metazoa; Arthropoda; Insecta; Lepidoptera; Bombycidae.
UUAUGGUUAGUGUCUCGUGAUCGUGAC